AGGGGUGGUAUAACCAACAAGAGCUGCUAAUUCUUGCAUCCGAGCAUAAAACCUCGGCCCCCUU
This 64-nucleotide transfer RNA is filed under the name Arborophila cambodiana (Chestnut-headed partridge). RNAcentral's name for it is "tRNA-Ser". Lineage: Eukaryota; Metazoa; Chordata; Aves; Galliformes; Phasianidae. The record is from RNAcentral.